This 350-nucleotide unclassified non-coding RNA is filed under the name soil metagenome. RNAcentral's name for it is "partial contains 5.8S ribosomal RNA, internal transcribed spacer 2, and large subunit ribosomal RNA". The stretch from base 1 to 120 matches the Rfam family "5.8S ribosomal RNA", at positions 35 to 154 of the family's 154-position model. The record is from RNAcentral.
GAUGAAGAACGUAGCGAAAUGCGAUAAGUAAUGUGAAUUGCAGAAUUCAGUGAAUCAUCGAAUCUUUGAACGCACAUUGCGCCCGCCAGUAUUCUGGCGGGCAUGCCUGUUCGAGCGUCAUUUCAACCCUCAAGCCCAGCUUGGUGUUGGGGAUCGGCACAGGCGCCCUCGGGCGCCCGCCGUCCCCUAAAUCUAGUGGCGGUCCCGCUGCAGCCUCCUCUGCGUAGUAGUUUUCUCCUCGCAAGGGCAGCUCGGUGGCGACCUCGCCGUAAAACCCCCAACUUCUGAAAGGUUGACCUCGAAUCAGGUAGGAAUACCCGCUGAACUUAAGCAUAUCAAUAAGCGCAGGA